Long non-coding RNA from Drosophila navojoa, 126 nucleotides. Lineage: Eukaryota; Metazoa; Arthropoda; Insecta; Diptera; Drosophilidae. The record is from RefSeq and is a predicted model, not a curated record.
UUGUGAGCAAGAAACGCAUACGAUACAAGGAAAAGGGAUUUAAUUUGGACCUUUCAUAUAUUUGCCCUAAAAUAACUGCGAUGGGAUAUCCUGCUCCGGACAUUAUUGAAGGCAUUUACAGAAAUC